RNAcentral lists this long non-coding RNA (1390 nucleotides) under Apteryx owenii (little spotted kiwi). Its description in RNAcentral is "lncRNA (ENSAOWG00000011982.1)". Lineage: Eukaryota; Metazoa; Chordata; Aves; Apterygiformes; Apterygidae. The record is from RNAcentral.
CUGCUCGCUCCGUCCUGGACCACACUGCUCUCUCAUCCCGAUGAUGCUGAUCUGACUUUGCAGUUCCCGCAAAUACCUGGACAUCUGGCUGGAGGGCAGCCUCAUCCUGCCAGUAUUGCAGUUUUGGGGCGCUGGGCUUGCCAUCAUGGUGCAAGACAUUGCAAGGAGACCCCUGAGGCUGUGUCUUUUACUCUUGCCUGUGUCUUGAGAAAAGCGGAAAGGACAGCGACGGGGGGAAGAGUGCAAUCUGCUCUUGAUGUGUCCUACGCAGGGUUUUUAAGAGCAUUGCCUUCCUUGCUGACGCGUGGAGCAGGAGAGGUGACGGCUAAGGUGGUACCCAGUGCCUCAGUAAGGCGGGCGAUUACCCGUGCUGCGGGCAUCGGACACCUCCUGCAUUAACCUGUUGAUGGGGAAAGAGAUACCUGCAUGGCUCCUGCACGGCUCCAGCCCGGCCUGGAUGGAGAGCAGCUGAACGGCAUCCCCGGGAGAGUCACCUGCCGGAUCCAGAUCAUACCCCUGCAAGACUUAAAACGGCCUCCGCUCUGGCUGCACGCAAGCUAGCAGGGCUGGGGUCAGGCCACAGUUCUGGGGUGACUUCUCCGAGUCCUGGCUGCCUGCAGCGAGUUAGGGUAGCGGGUGGGAAGGCUUCCUCUCCUCUUAAACGGUGAGGACGCUUGCAGAGGGGUUUUUUCUUUCCCUUUGCAUCUGAAAGGAAGCAGCCCGGAGGAUUUGAGGCAGUAGGUUAGCUCACAGAAGGCUUUCCCUGGGAACGUCCGCCCGAUGGACUUGGGGUGAAGGCCCCAGAGAAAAUGACUCCCACUCCAGUGAAAUCUUCCUCCUGUGACCUGCGCCGGGAGGUGAACUUUUGUGCGAGAGAAAGAUAAUCCCCUUUGCUCACCGGGACUGAAGGCUCUGCGAUAAAAGCUUUAUUCAAGAUCAAAGACGUAUACUUUUUUUUUUCCUUUUUUUUUUUAACUACUACCUUAAACAAAAAGUUUGGUUUAUGCUGGGUUGAAGCUCUGAUCAGCGGCAGCUCCGGAGCUCAUCUUCAGUGCAGGCGGGACGCAGGCUGGAGCAGGGAUACACAACGUAAAAGAGGGUUCACGGGAUCAGCUCCUUUUCCUGUGGCACAAAACUGCUGAGGAUUCAGGGUCCUUUUCACAUGGGAGGAUUAUCCAGGCAGCUGGGGAAGGCAGAGGGGAGCUUGGGGAAUGGAUCACAUUUGAUUUACUCAGCAAUUUCGGCUGCGUGAGCAUCAGGCAAGAGGUUUUGGUCCAAGAUGCAGGAAACUGUCGGAGCUGAAGCUGGGGUGACGCAAGGGGUUGUGUGCUUUUCUGUGCAGCGAGCUGUGGCGAUGUGUAACUUAUGAUGUAACUUUGCACUUCAAAAG